AGUGCAGAUGGCGAAUGCCUUGGCACCAGAAACCGAUGAAGGACGUAUGAGGCUGCGAUAAGCCUCGGGGAGCUGCCAACAGAGCUGUGAUCCGAGGAUUUCCGAAUGAGGAAACUCAGCGCGAGUAAUGUCGCGUUAUUUCUCCCAGAACACAUAUGGGAGAUAAAGGGAACGUGGGGAAGUGAAACAUCUCAGUACCCACAGGAAGAGAAAACAACCGUGAUUCCGUUAGUAGUGGCGAGCGAAAGCGGAAGAGGCUAAACCAAUCAUGUGCCAAGCCGGCAGGCGUUGCAUGAUCGGUGUCGUGGGACUAAAUCGAAUUGACUGCCGUUAAUUCAACAAGUCAGAAAAUAAUGAAAUAGAUGAAGGACGUGGGAAAGUCCGGCAUAGAAGGUGAGACCCCUGUAGUCGAAAUUUCAUUAUCUUGUUUUUAGUAUCCCAAGUAAUACCGGACUCGUGUAAUCCGGUAUGAAUCUGGCGGGACCACCCGCUAAGCCUAAAUACUCUCUGGUGACCGAUAGUGAACAAGUACCGUGAGGGAAAGGUGAAAAGAACCCCGCAAGGGGAGUGAAAUAGAAUCUGAAACCGUUUGCAUACAAACCGUUGGAGCUGCCUUGUGCAGUGACAGCGUGCCUUUUGAAGAAUGAGUCUACGAGUUAGUGUGAUGUGGCAAGGUUAACCCGUCGAGGGGAAGCCGUAGCGAAAGCGAGUCUGAAUAGGGCGACUGAGUAGCAUGAUCUAGACCCGAAGCGAGGUGAUCUACGCAUGGCCAGGUUGAAGCGCGGGUAAGACCGCGUGGAGGACCGAACCCACUAAUGUUGAAAAAUUAGGGGAUGAGCUGUGUGUAGGGGUGAAAGGCCAAUCAAACUUCGUGAUAGCUGGUUCUCUCCGAAAUGCAUUUAGGUGCAGCGUCACGUGUUUCUUACCGGAGGUAGAGCUACUGGAUGGUCGAGGGGGCCUACAAGCUUACCAACAUCAGCCAAACUCCGAAUGCCGGUAAGUGAGAGCGUGGCAGUGAGACUGUGGGGGAUAAGCUUCAUAGUCGAGAGGGAAACAACCCAGAAUAGCAACUAAGGUCCCAAAGCCUGUGCUAAGUGGAAAAGGAUGUGAAGUCGCAUAGACAACCAGGAGGUUGGCUUAGAAGCAGCCACCCUUAAAAGAGUGCGUAAUAGCUCACUGGUCAAGUGAUUUCGCGCCGACAAUGUAACGGGGCUCAAGCACAGCACCGAAGUUCUGUCAUUCACACACUAUCCCGGUCGCAAGAUCCAGGAGUGUGGAUGGGUAGGAGAGCGUCGUGUGACUGGUGAAGCGGCAGAGGAAUCUAGCCGUGGAAGUCACACGAGUGAGAAUGUAGACAUGAGUAGCGAGAGAGGGGUGAGAAACCCCUCCGCCGAAAGACCAAGGGUUCCUGGGCCAGGCUAAUCCGCCCAGGGUAAGUCGGGACCUAAGGCGAGGCCGUCAGGCGUAGUCGAUGGACAACUGGUUGAUAUUCCAGUACCCGCUUUAAUUCGCCCAUGACGAACCCACUAAUGCUAAGAGUUUGAAUCCUGUUCGGCGUAAGCCGCGUGGGUGGAUGGCUCGAACCGGUGUGGUAGUAGUUAAGCAAUGGUGUGACACAGGAAGGCAGUCCAACCCGGGCGAUGGUUGUCCCGGGGUAAGGUCGUAGGGCGUUACGUAGGCAAAUCCGCGUAACACAUGCCUGAGAGCUGAUGCCGAGCCGUAAGGCGAAGUGGAUGAUCCUAUGCUGUCAAGAAAAGCAUCUAGCGAGAAUUAUUGCGGCCCGUACCCGAAACCGACACAGGUGGUCAGGUAGAGAAUACCAAGGCGAUCGAGAGAAUCAUGGAUAAGGAACUCGGCAAAAUGCCCCCGUAACUUCGGGAGAAGGGGGGCCCUUUGACGUGUAGGAGUUUUCCUCCGAAGCGUUGGAAGGCCGCAGAGACCAGGCUCAAGCGACUGUUUACCAAAAACACAGGUCCGUGCGAAGUAGCAAAACGAUGUAUACGGACUGACGCCUGCCCGGUGCUGGAAGGUUAAGGGGACUGGUUAGCCGCAAGGCGAAGCUGAGAACUUAAGCCCCAGUAAACGGCGGUGGUAACUAUAACCAUCCUAAGGUAGCGAAAUUCCUUGUCGGGUAAGUUCCGACCUGCACGAAUGGCGUAACGACUUGAGCACUGUCUCCACCAUGAACUCGGCGAAAUUGCAUUACGAGUAAAGAUGCUCGUUACGCGCGGAAAGACGGAAAGACCCCGGGACCUUUACUAUAUCUUGAUAUUGGUACUCGGAACGUUUUGUGUAGCAUAGGUGGGAGACUUUGAAGCGGCACGCCAGUGUUCGUGGAGUCAUCGUUGAAAUACCACUCUAAUCGUUUUGAGUUUCUAACCUCGGUCCAUGAUCUGGAUCAGGGACAGUGUCUGGUGGGUAGUUUGACUGGGGCGGUCGCCUCCUAAA
This 2448-nucleotide ribosomal RNA is filed under the name marine metagenome. RNAcentral describes it as "bacterial LSU rRNA". It matches the Rfam family "Bacterial large subunit ribosomal RNA", at positions 14 to 2294 of the family's 2925-position model. The record is from RNAcentral.